Molecule: ribosomal RNA, 500 nt
Filed under: uncultured bacterium
Lineage: Bacteria
Description: partial 16S ribosomal RNA
Rfam family: Bacterial small subunit ribosomal RNA
Source: RNAcentral
AUUGAACGCUGGCGGCAUGCCUUACACAUGCAAGUCGAACGGCAGCACGGGAGCAAUCCUGGUGGCGAGUGGCGAACGGGUGAGUAAUAUAUCGGAACGUGCCCAGUCGUGGGGGAUAACGCAGCGAAAGCUGUGCUAAUACCGCAUACGAUCUAUGGAUGAAAGCGGGGGAUCGCAAGACCUCGCGCGAUUGGAGCGGCCGAUAUCAGAUUAGCUAGUUGGUGAGGUAAAGGCUCACCAAGGCGACGAUCUGUAGCUGGUCUGAGAGGACGACCAGCCACACUGGAACUGAGACACGGUCCAGACUCCUACGGGAGGCAGCAGUGGGGAAUUUUAGACAAUGGGCGAAAGCCUGAUCCAGCAAUGCCGCGUGCAGGAUGGAGGCCUUCGGGUUGUAAACUGCUUUUGUACGGAACGAAACGGUGAGCUCUAAUACAGUUUGCUAAUGACGGUACCGUAAGAAUAAGCACCGGCUAACUACGUGCCAGCCGCCGCCGUAA